AUUAUUUUGGCAGAUAAAGUGUAUUAAAUUUAGAAUUUAAUAAUGUAUAAUUUUUUAUACAAAUAAUA
This 68-nucleotide transfer RNA is filed under the name Cephalonomia gallicola. RNAcentral's name for it is "tRNA-Leu". Lineage: Eukaryota; Metazoa; Arthropoda; Insecta; Hymenoptera; Bethylidae. The record is from RNAcentral.